GAUGAACGCUGACAGAAUGCUUAACACAUGCAAGUCUACUUGAAUUUGGGUUUUUUAACUUAGAUUUGGGUGGCGGACGGGUGAGUAACGCGUAAAGAACUUGCCUCACAGCUAGGGACAACAUUUGGAAACGAAUGCUAAUACCUGAUAUUAUGAUUAUAAGGCAUCUUAGAAUUAUGAAAGCUAUAUGCGCUGUGAGAGAGCUUUGCGUCCCAUUAGCUAGUUGGAGAGGUAACGGCUCACCAAGGCGAUGAUGGGUAGCCGGCCUGAGAGGGUGAACGGCCACAAGGGGACUGAGACACGGCCCUUACUCCUACGGGAGGCAGCAGUGGGGAAUAUUGGACAAUGGACCAAGAGUCUGAUCCAGCAAUUCUGUGUGCACGAUGACGUUUUUCGGAAUGUAAAGUGCUUUCAGUUGGGAAGAAAAAAAUGACGGUACCAACAGAGGAAGUGACGGCUAAAUACGUG
Molecule: ribosomal RNA, 468 nt
Filed under: uncultured bacterium
Lineage: Bacteria
Description: partial 16S ribosomal RNA
Rfam family: Bacterial small subunit ribosomal RNA
Source: RNAcentral